GCCAAGGGGGCCAAGGGGGCCCCAAGGGGCCCGGAGAUAAUUGAAAAGCGAUGAUAAUACCUAAAGCCCUAGGCUGCGUUCCGUUUCACGCAUCGAGCGCAUCGAUCGUAACCAAUGCGUUGCGUGCAUUGAUAUCGUUCCGUUUUCGUUAAUGCGUCUAUGCACUUUUGGAAACGGAACGACUUUUGAUGCGUUUGAUGUGAAAGGAAAAAUGGAUGCUACUAUGGUCACAAUGGACAUCGAAACAUUGACAACAAUAGCCUUAUUUUCAUUAGUGAAUGAUGAUGUUACGUCCUGGACAAGCAUAGAACAUGCAAUGUCUAGAUUUGUUUGGUUUACUUCGGAUCAGCGCUGUUCUUGUCCAAAUCCUUAUUAUUUGAAUCUGUUUCCUUUGGAGAUUUUAUUCUCUCUCGGGACCGAAGAUUUAGAUGGAUCUGUUUUGAAAACAGCCAGGUCGAGCGUGCCUGGAUUAUAAUAACUUUUCAACAGACGUCUAAAUUGAAUCCGCCGUCCGGCUCUUCUUGUUCUUUUCAGCAUGAGAGAUUUUUAGCACAACACUCUUAAAGUAAGGAAGAGAAGAACUGUGCUCGUGGUUCAAGCACUGAGUUCUGGGAAAAAGGGAGGAAUGGUGCUCGUGGUUCAAGCACAACACUCUUAAGGUAAAAAAAAGAAGAACGAUGCUCGUGGUUCAAGCACGGCGUUCUGGAAAAAGAAUGAAGAUGAUAAGAGGGAAGAGAGGCUCAAGACCCCUUAGCAAUCGGCUAACAAGAGGCUCAGCGAAAGAUUGUCUGUUGGCUAAUUGGAGGCUAAUAAGAGACUGCUUAGAGAUUGACGAGAGACUGCCUAGCGCGCGAAGGGCCGAGCCCUUUUUAUACCCAAGCCCGACACUAUGGAUAUCAAUUGAGCGUCUUUUCCUAAUUCACCCUUCAUUAUUUAUCGGUUAAAAAAUAUAAAAAUGUUAUUAUCUAGUAAUUAAAAUUAUACUUAAUCAUAUGUAGCGUUUGGUAAUUCAGUUGUCUCGUUGUUGGCUGAUUUAUUAAUAAAAUUAUGUUU
This 1053-nucleotide unclassified non-coding RNA is filed under the name Harpegnathos saltator (Jerdon's jumping ant). Its description in RNAcentral is "uncharacterized LOC105182967, transcript variant X3". Lineage: Eukaryota; Metazoa; Arthropoda; Insecta; Hymenoptera; Formicidae. The record is from RNAcentral.